This is a long non-coding RNA of Notolabrus celidotus (New Zealand spotty), 905 nucleotides long. RefSeq lists it as uncharacterized. The transcript is spliced from 4 exons. The record is from RefSeq and is a predicted model, not a curated record. NCBI's taxonomy places the organism in Eukaryota, Metazoa, Chordata, Actinopteri, Labriformes, Labridae.
ACGAGUUUAUUCACGAAAUAUAUGUCAUUGCCGGUUGAGUAUAGCUACAAAAACGUUGUAUACGUCAAGUGGGCGUUAGGAAUGAAAAUAAAAUCAAUGUAUUUCUCUCUGUCAGGCCUGUUUUACAGGUGCAACAACAUGCUAUUGUAGCCUCGCCGCCGCUCUCCCACACAGCAGCGAGGCUAGCUGUAGCUUCAACGCCUGGACCAACGGCCGCGCUCGCGCCGCCUGUCAAAAGAACCGACACCUCCUGAAGUUUCCGGACAUCACCAAACGAGCCCCCUGGACUACCUUCUCAGCUCAUAACGCCAGGAUGCAAUCAGGAGGUUAAUCUGAACAGGACUCACCACUUGUCGACGUCCUCCUUGAUGACCUGGCACGGUGCUGGCACAGCUUCAUUAGAGUCUGGCAUUUUGACAGAGCAGAGCUGAGUUUGUGGAGAGGAGCUGCUGCACUGGCUUAAGUCAAGUACAGUUACAGAUUAGUUACAGAGAUGGAGGGACAGACAGUAAAGGAGGGAAGGAGAGAAGGUGGGGAGGCAUGACGCUGGCUGAGUGUCAUGAGCUGGAAGGUAAAAUACUUUUCAAUGAAUAUGCAGUUAGCUGACCUUUUGAGUCACACACUCUGCAUUACAAAGGCCUCAUAAUACAUCUAAAUGGUCACUACAGGGGAGAGCAUUUUCCUGAGAGGAGACUAUGGAGCCUGACUUUGUUUUUCACUGCUGGAUUAAAAGGUUGAGCUGAGAGAUGAAGCAUUUGUUGUACCCUAAAACAUUUGUGUUUGCAUUUUGUGCAAGUAAUACUUACUGAUACUAAUACCGAAAAUGAAUAAAGCCCAGAAACACAGAAUGAAUGACUCUGAACUCUACAGAAACACAUAUUUGUUGUAUAGUGUCUAAACAUGAA